RNAcentral lists this ribosomal RNA (263 nucleotides) under uncultured bacterium. Its description in RNAcentral is "partial 16S ribosomal RNA". It matches the Rfam family "Bacterial small subunit ribosomal RNA", at positions 91 to 354 of the family's 1533-position model. The record is from RNAcentral.
CUUAGUGGCGGACGGGUGAGUAACGCGUGGGUAACCUGCCUUGCACUGGGGGAUAACACUUAGAAAUAGGUGCUAAUACCGCAUAAGCGCACGGUCCUGCAUGGGACAGUGUGAAAAACUCCGGUGGUGCAAGAUGGACCCGCGUCUGAUUAGCUGGUUGGCGGGGUAAAGGCCCACCAAGGCGACGAUCAGUAGCCGGCCUGAGAGGGUGGACGGCCACAUUGGGACUGAGACACGGCCCAAACUCCUACGGAAGGCAGCAG